Phymastichus coffea is the source of this 5768-nucleotide RNA transcript. It is a transcript of the gene named janus kinase and microtubule-interacting protein 2-like, with no coding region annotated. The transcript has 14 exons. NCBI's taxonomy places the organism in Eukaryota, Metazoa, Arthropoda, Insecta, Hymenoptera, Eulophidae. The record is from RefSeq and is a predicted model, not a curated record.
UACUUUAGUUACUGACGGUGUCUCUCACGAGGUGGAUAAAAUCGCAGGGCCAACAUUACUUUUUCAUUUUAUUAUAAACGCGCGAGUGUACGUGUCUUGUUAAUUUUAUAUUCAUUUUAACUUAGUUCAAAAUUCAAUCUUGGAACCUGUGCGUUUCUUUAUGCACAAACGACCUUCUCAAGUCGUAUUAACGAAGAAGAAACGACCAGAAUGAAUCCCCGAGCGAGAGACACCGUCACCUCGACGAGAGCGACCAACUCGACGACGAACACGACGACGAAUUUAACGACGACCGGGGUGCGCUUGGCGAACUCGACGAGGAAACGUCGCCAGCAGCCACAGCAGCAACAGGUCCACCGUGGUCGAGCUGAGGACGCCUCGAAAUCGCACCCCGAGAUCAAGCCGCCGCCGGUGAAGGCCCGGCGGCGAACAAGCAAAGCAGUCACCGAGAGCACCGAGCGCACGUCCAGCAAGAGUCGCCUCGGUGACUUCUUAUCUACCUUGGCUUCUCGCAUUCGCGGACCCAAGCAUUCCAGUGUCAUGGAUGACCGUGAGAAAUCGAAGAAUUGGCAAGUCGUCGACGCGACACUGCAGCCGUCGAUGAAACCAGAUGAGGACGAAGUGGCAGAAGACCACGAGGCUGCAGGCAGCAAAAGGCGAAAAUUGGAGCCCAACGAGUGUAGUAUCGUGCAUCAUCAGAGCGUUGGCGUGGCCCUGAAAAAUGUGGGCUUUAGGUCAGUCGAGCGGCAUCGCGAUGGAGAAGCCACCACCACCGAGGGCGGCGAUCCAAGCGUCGAAGCAACAAAGGAUGUGCUCGAAGAACAGCCAAGUGUCGAAGUGGCGGAAGGUGCGGCUGUGCACAGUGAAAGUAAUACUCGGGAAGAGUGCAAUGAGUCGGGUGGAUUGGAAAAUGUUGGGGAGAAUGGCGCGUCGAUAUCCGGUGAAAAGGGGGAGCUGAGCGAAGAACCGAGCAAGUCGAAUGCGAGCGUGGAACGCAGUGUCUCGAAUCUGACGGUGAAUCUGGAGUACCGAGGAGUCGCGGAGUUGAACAGGAAUAGCGGCCGGAAAGCGGAAGUCAGCGCGAGCAGCGGCCGCGAAAGGGAUCGCGUCGAGUCGGAGGUCGGUAACUGCAGCAGCCGAUACAGCUUGCGCUCGAUGAUGAAGUCCGCGCGGCGCGACGACGACGCCACUCGGCUGCGCAAAACCAUUCAUUGGCUGGAGGAGGGCGGCCGCCGGCUGCGGCAGGAGCUGACCGAGGCUAGGUCGCAGAUCUACGAGGAGCGCAAAGCCGCCAAGUUGGCUCGACGCGAGCUCGAGGCUGCCGUCAAAGAGGCGCGCAACGCCGAGGCGGCCAAAUACGCUAGCGUCGUGGUCGAGCUCAAGGCUAGGUUGGCUCAGUCGCCAUCACCUUCUGUAAACGAUUGUCCAUCAAGUUCGUCAAAGACUGACAUUUUAAAAGACGAAAAUCACAGGCGAGAGGUGGCUGCACUGAAAAAACGUCUUGCCGAAGCCGAAUCAACUAUUCAAAAGCUUAAAACUAAUUCCCUGGAUCGCAGUCGCGUCAGAAAGAAAACCAAAGAGGAUGAAAGCGUCAAAGCUGGCAAUGCAGAAUUGCGAAAGCUUGCAAUCGAAGUUCAAAACUUACGUACAGCUAAUAAAAAGCUCGAAGAGAAGUUACACGUUGCCGAGGAAUCUGCAAGGGCACGAGCUGCAGAGCUGCGGGCGCAACACGAAACUCACGAAGCGGAAUCGGCUGGCAUCCAGAGGGCUCUCCGUAGCGAUACAAUUAAAUUAAUCGACGAAAUACAGAGUAAGAAUCGGGAAAUUGAGAAAUUGGAAAGGCUGCUGAGCGAGCACACUCAAAUUAAUGAAAAGCUACGCGCCAAGGAAGACGAAACGAUGCGCAAGUUGCGGGAGAAUCAGAGGAAUCAGCAACUUCGCUUAGCGACUAGAAUCGAGGAAAAGAUCCGCCAUGAGAAGCACGUGGUGGAGUUUUGCAAGGGGGACAGCGUGGAGGUCGACGAUGAGAUGGCAGCACCCGAUCUUGGCCAACUGCGAGAACUCGCGAUGGAGCAACAGCGGGUAAUCGAAGUUCUGAGGCAAGCUGUAAAGGAAAAAGACCGUAAACUGGAGCAACUGACAAACAAGCGACGCAAGGAGGAAUUUUACAAGCAAUGGCUGGAGCUGGAGCCAGUUGCCGAAGUGGACGACGAGGACGAGCAGCAGUUGGAGGACGGUGGCGACAGUGUUCUGUCCUCGGCGCCGUCCUCGCUCUCGCCACAGCCCAGCGGCCACAACGGUCAGUUUGUGGCCAGCGGACCCACGCGGGAGGCCUACGAGAGUCUCCUUAUGGAAGUGGGGGAGCUGCAAGCCAAGCUAUCGGAGGAGCGGCAUGAGCUCGCUCUGGCCAGGGAUCAAGUGCUCGAAUUGGAGAAAGCUCUGCUGCAAGAGACCAGAGGCAAUCAAACGUACAAGCGAGCGUUCAGCGAGAAAUUGCGCGUAGCCGAGGAGCGCGAGGUCGCCCUCGCGGCCGAAUUAUCCGAGCUGCGCGAGCAAAACGAAGUGCUGGAGUUCAGGGUGCUCGAGCUAGAAGAGUCGCCCAAUCUGAGCAACACGCCUGAUCCGGCAGACAGUGGCAUCGUCUCGCCGGAACCCAUACAUCUCUACAAGGAACAGGCAGCGAGCAAGCACAGAGACCGCGCGAUAGCAACGGUCAUCCCGUACAGCUCCACUUACAACAGCCAGCCAGUGCUGGCAACGGACGCGCAAAAAGGGCCGCUGUCGCUGCAAGAGAGCGGCAUCUUCGACGACGAGAACGAGGAGAACGCCGACGAGACCGAGGAGCGCGCGAGCAGCGGCGACGCCAGCAGCACCAGCGGCACCAGCAGCACUGGCGAGGCUCGCCCGUGCAAGCCGCCGGGCCAAGCCACCCCGAGCGAGGCGCCGGCCGGCGAGUUGCUGCAGGAGGUGCAGCGACUGCAGGAGCUCCGGGCCCGCAUCCAGGAGCGCGCGGCCAAAGUGCCACCGGCGCCGGCGGCGACGCCACCGAGCGAGCGCCGGGCCAAGGCCGAGGGCUGCGAGGGCUGCCGCGCCGCGCACGAGCGCAUCCGCGAGCUGGAGGAGCGGCUGUCCCGGCGCGAGGCCGAGCGCGAGCUGUCCAAGCAGCGCGAGGAAGAGCUGCUCGACGAGAACUACCGCCUGGCCGAGAACACCUACUGGCUGCAGUCGGAGCUGGAGCGCGCGCUCGCGGGUCGCGAGGCCAAGGGCGCGAGCGACGCCGAGGCGCCGGCCCAGGGCACGGCGCCGCGGGACCGCCCCUGCCCGGACUGCGUCGAGCUCUGGCAGAGCUGCGACGCGAAGCUGCGCAGCCUGGCUAGCACCGAGUCCCGACUGCGCCAGCAGGUCGCCAGCCUGGAGCAGCGGGAGGCGGCCUUCUUCGAGACCCUGCGCCAGGCGGACGCCACCUGGGCCAAGCUCGAGGCGGAUUACGAGAGCAGGCAGCGCGAAGUGUCCGAGCGCUUGGCGGCCCAGCUCGAGCUCAACCGAGCGCUCUUCGAGCACCUCACCGAGCUCAACAAGGCCGAAUACUUGUCGUCCCAGGAACUCGACGUCGCAACCGCCAAACCCGCCGCCGACGCUGCCGCCGACGCCACCGCCGACGCCGCUGCCGACGCCGCCGCCAAGCCGUGCGAACGUUGCAAUUGUGCCUCGCUCGCCAGCCGCUCGAGCAGCCUCGUCGAGAGCGACUCGGCCGCCUCCCGGCUGUCCACCAUCUCGCGGACCAGCAUUAGUAUGCAAUCCAUUGCUGUCGGCUGCGACCAAGUCGACACAGACAAAUGUUGCGGUAUGCCAGUCGAGCCACCGACGGAAGUGGCUACCGAGGCUAAGGAGGAAGAAAAAGAAGAGAGAACAGGUGCCUUAAAAAUUAAAGCUUCCGAGGGUGAGCAGCCCGAGCUACACCAGCCAGAAUCUCACGUUUAUAUAGACGAAUCGUCUGGCGAGAAAAAGCAAAUAAUCUACUUCCGAUGGAGGUGAAGUUCCUUCCCACUGAAAAAUUAAAAAAUUAAGAGAUAAAAAUAUAGACACAAUGGCGUCAGGUUUCCAUACUCUAAGAUCGCAUUUCCUACGAAUCACAAGAAGAAACUGAUAUUUUAAAGCUUCAAAUGAGGACAAAAUGGCUGGCGCUGCUUGAUAAAAUCAAGUAACGACCAGAAAUGGUGCGUCCUGCCGUCAAGUUCCCACGAUUGCAAGAACGAGCUCAAAACGACAAGUUUCUAUCUUUGAACAUCGUCAUGAAGUACACGAAGAUUGUACAUAUUGUCCAAACUAUCGUUUAUUUAUGUAUUAUCGAUUGUCUUCCGUGUUUCAUUCAACAAGAUAAAUGGUUUGAUAUUAGAUUUUACUUUCACAGGAAAUGCGCAUUACUCCAUAUUGUAGCACCCUGGAAAAUUGAAAAUGAAUUUUUCCACUAGAAGGAGUAAUUUACUGUUCUCUUAUAUAAAAAUGCAAUCGUCUAAAUUAAGUUUGCAUAUUAUUUCAAUCAAAUUUUGAUGGAGACUGUUAAGAUUGUACAAAUUAUGGAAACCUGAAAAUUUUUUUUUGCGAGCUGUGAUUCUUUAUGUCAACAAUCAUAAGUAUAAUAUGAUUACUUUAUUAUUGAUCAGUUCUUACCGAGAGUUUCAAUAUUAAAAAUGACGAAUUUUUAUCUGAUGAUGCGUUAUUAUUAUUUUUAUAGCGUAAUUUCACAAAUUUAUCAAAAAUUAAAUUGAAAAAUACCCUGAUUUAAACAAUUGUUUUCAUCGUUUAUUUUAAGAAUUAAUAACUAUUAGAUAUUUAUCGUGUAUCUAUGUUUUAACUAUGAUUCAUAUAGACCUACAAUUAUUUAUAUAACAAUGUUUAAUACGCUCACUGCUUAUCGAAUUUACGUUUUUAUAAGAUACAACCGUUUAUCCUAGAUAUAUUCGGUCAUAUUUGUUGGAAAAGAAUGAAAGAAUACAGUUUACAUUAGAUAUACUUUCAACACUGAAAAUAGUCAAAAAUUCUUCAGUUACUUACAAAUUACAAAUGAGUCUCAGUUAAAGAAAUAUCUUUUUCACUUGGUUAGCGGUGUUAAGAAAUUAAAAGUUCACAAAUGUUUAUGUGUAAUAAAUUAUUGCUUCAAAAACAAUCAUUCUUCCAUGACAAUUUGUUACAGCCUGUAAUAAAUUGAGCGAUAUUUGUCUAAAAGGUAUAUGAAUUAUAGAUAAAACGCUUCCGAUUCCAUUCGUAAUAGAUUACAACGUACUGUUACUACGUUGUAAUGAAGAAAAUAUUUUUUUCCGCCCAUUCACGCGAAGUAGCGUAUUUGAGGGUCUUACCUUGUAAGGAGUAUUUGCUAUGAUACUGCCGUACGAUAAAAAAUACUAAGUUGAACCCAUAAAAUCGAUAUAAAAUAUUAUGUAAUGUAUCUAGUCGAUAUACUUUGAUUGAGCAAUUAAGUACGAUGUAGCUUUGGGAUACCCUUUGACAGUCUUGUGUUUGACUUUAAAAGUCAUUCAUGGGUAAUCUCAAUGCGCAAAAAUAAUGAUGAGUAUUGAUGAAAGUUGUAGUUUACCAUUACUCUUUCAAUCUGCCUUUUUAAAUGUCUGUAAAAAGUUGUAUUUCAAGCUUACAUUAUAAGUACGUCAGGAACUAUAAACUUAAUUAAAAGGGCGUCGCUUCGUCGAGGUAAUAACGAAUUAUUUACAUUCUUUGCGUAUCUUGUAAUCUAUUCAAUAAAAUAUCUUACA